CACCAGUAAUAUUGUAUGGACUGGGAUCGUUCGCCUACGUUUGCCGCUAGGGGCGCUGUUCCAACUGCAUACAAAAUUGGGUUA
RNAcentral lists this microRNA precursor (84 nucleotides) under Bombyx mori (domestic silkworm). RNAcentral describes it as "mir-2807 microRNA precursor family". It matches the Rfam family "mir-2807 microRNA precursor family". Lineage: Eukaryota; Metazoa; Arthropoda; Insecta; Lepidoptera; Bombycidae. The record is from Rfam by way of RNAcentral.